GGGGGCAUAGCUCAGCGGUAGAGUGCUUGUGUAGCAUUUAGGAGGUCCUGGCUUCAAUCUCCAGUACAUCCA
RNAcentral lists this transfer RNA (72 nucleotides) under Camelus ferus (Wild Bactrian camel). It matches the Rfam family "tRNA". Rfam says of the family: Transfer RNA (tRNA) molecules are approximately 80 nucleotides in length. Their secondary structure includes four short double-helical elements and three loops (D, anti-codon, and T loops). Further hydrogen bonds mediate the characteristic L-shaped molecular structure. tRNAs have two regions of fundamental functional importance: the anti-codon, which is responsible for specific mRNA codon recognition, and the 3' end, to which the tRNAs corresponding amino acid is attached (by aminoacyl-tRNA synthetases). tRNAs cope with the degeneracy of the genetic code in two manners: having more than one tRNA (with a specific anti-codon) for a particular amino acid; and 'wobble' base-pairing, i.e. permitting non-standard base-pairing at the 3rd anti-codon position. The record is from Rfam by way of RNAcentral. Lineage: Eukaryota; Metazoa; Chordata; Mammalia; Artiodactyla; Camelidae.